RNAcentral lists this non-coding RNA (24 nucleotides) under Arabidopsis thaliana (thale cress). Lineage: Eukaryota; Viridiplantae; Streptophyta; Magnoliopsida; Brassicales; Brassicaceae. The record is from RNAcentral.
CCGCAUUAUACCUGAUUUUGUUGC